This 508-nucleotide ribosomal RNA is filed under the name uncultured bacterium. RNAcentral's name for it is "partial 16S ribosomal RNA". It matches the Rfam family "Bacterial small subunit ribosomal RNA", at positions 29 to 523 of the family's 1533-position model. The record is from RNAcentral.
AUUGAACGCUGGCGGCAGGCCUAACACAUGCAAGUCGAGCGGCAGCGGGAAAGUAGCUUGCUACUUUUGCCGGCGAGCGGCGGACGGGUGAGUAAUGCCUGGGGAUCUGCCCAGUCGAGGGGGAUAACAGUUGGAAACGACUGCUAAUACCGCAUACGCCCUACGGGGGAAAGGAGGGGACCUUCGGGCCUUUCGCGAUUGGAUGAACCCAGGUGGGAUUAGCUAGUUGGUGGGGUAAUGGCUCACCAAGGCGACGAUCCCUAGCUGGUCUGAGAGGAUGAUCAGACACACUGGAACUGGGAAACGGUCCAGACGCCUACGGGAGGCAGCAGUGGGGAAUAUUGCACAAUGGGGGAAACCCUGAUGCAGCCAUGCCGCGUGUGUGAAGAAGGCCUUCGGGUUGUAAAGCACUUUCAGCGAGGAGGAAAGGUUGGUAGCUAAUAACUGCCAGCUGUGACGUUACUCGCAGAAGAAGCACCGGCUAACUCCGUGCCAGCCGCCGCCGUAA